GUCACAUACGGCUUAAACUCUGUGUUUCAUUAAAACGCAUUCAGUAUGGGCUUUCUUCGCCAACCCAAUAGCAGAGGUCCCUUUUGUCUUCAUCAACUCGAGGCCGAAAUUAGGGUUCAUACUCACGUUCAAUCUCCAUUGCCAAACAGUGUUCUUCUGUAUUGAAUGAGUUAUUUUGAAACUAUGAUGGCAGCCACCGUGAAUUAGAAGACUCACUUUAAAUCUCAGAUCCUCUUCCAUUCACCUUCACCUCCUCCUCCUCCUUUAGACGAUUCCAUUUCCUCAAGCCAUGCUCUUCCCUCAAACAAAUGAAGAAGCAACAAUCUCUUCGCCGUUCUCCGCCUUCUUCCACUGCCCCUCCUCCUAAGAGUCUCUGAUGGUUCUUCAAUCCCAAAUCCAGUGACGACGAUAACGGAGAUGAUGCCUACAUCCCCCAUGGCCGAGAGCGAUGACGGAUCAAAUGGGGAUGCUGCUAUCAAGGGUACGAUUUUCGCCGGAGUUUUGUUGAUUGGUACUGUUGGUGGAUUCGCCGGCGUUGGCUACGUCUACAGGGACCAGAUCAAUACGUUUCUCACUCAGUUCUCCACUUUCAUUGACGGUUCAAUUAACAUUGAAUCAAAUGAUUUCAGUGACAAUUGAUGCAUUUUAGGACAAGUUUUGAGAUCAGUUUCAGAAGCUGUCAUGAGUUUUGUCUUGACGGAGUGAAAACAUGUUAUGGUCCUCCUGGAUACCAGCCAUUCCGGCACUCCCGUUGACGCAAGUUGAGUUUAAUGAAUUUGGUGGAAGCUCAAUGUUGGCUACAACUCUUGCUUGGGACAAUGAACUGCCUUGGACGCUAGAGACUGCUAUUGAAGCACUUCAGGAGACUGUGCAUCAGGAUUCUUCUGUUGUAAGGAGGUUACGAAGGGGGUCUCUAGGAAUAUUUGUUUUUAGCAAGAAUCAUGUUCCCACUAAAGGAGUGCAUUACCUUGCUGUAGAGAAGGCUUUGGAGAUGAUUGAGCGAAAAUUUCAUCUAUUAGCAAGGUUGUGCUUUCACAGUUACACGUGUCUUUUUGUCUAAGAGUGAAGGGUGUGAUGCUUAUCAAUUCUGAUUGCAAGCACCUGGUGCACAAGCUUUUAUCGGGAACACGUUUGACGUCUAAAAUUACAAUAAUGGUCCACAUCCGCUUAUUUAAAACAGCUUCAUCAUUAUAAAUUACAAGACUACCAAUCGUUUGUUGAUUGUGAUGCUGCAAGAUUGUGUUUUUGUUUGUAUCUCUUGCAAUUUCCUCACAUAGCCCCUCUCAGGUUAUAUGCUUGGAUGGGUUGAUUUCGAAGGCUUUAAUUUCACAUGAUAGCCUGAGGUGAUUGCACCAGGUUUACGGCUUUAGAUGAUUGUUGUAUCCGUUCUUUAACCAUGGGAGAUUGUGUCAUCGGAGCUUCAUCAAUAUUUUUGGAAGCUUUGCUAUUAAUUUCAGAACAAACCUUCACAAAUUUGGGACAUAAAAAGGUCUGCAUUUACCUCCUGCAGUACCGUUUGUUAACAUGUGUCUUCCCGAGCCUUACUUUGUUGGUUUUGUGUAUAUCUGAGAGAAAGAUUAGCUUUACAGGAUAAUGAUCGAGGAGAGACGCCGUUGAAGCUUCUUAUCCAGUUUCAGACAUGGAGAGCUAAUAGCAACUGUUGAUGAAAUGAAAAAUACUAAGAAUAAAUAAAAAUAUAAAGGUGCCAACACGUCACUCUAAUGUUUUAGUAAUUACCUUUAGAUCAGGCUCUGUUUUCUUAAAUGAUUGUCUUGCAAGUGUUUUUCUUUAUUUCUGCAGGAUGAAAAGAAGUGUAUAACCGGCAGUUUUUGUGACAUGCUCUUCAUAGCACCGUCAGACAGGAGCUAAGGUUCAUAAUUUAAAAGAAACAAAACUUUCUCAUAUUUUUUACUUCAUAGUGGAAGAGUAUUAAGUCAGCCGUGAUGGUAUGUAGGGUUACUUGACUCCAUGUUCAGGGGAGACUCGCCUGCCUAUAUUCAAGCCCCCAAUGGAGGGUCUGGAGGAAAUAUCGACCAACCAAGUCAUUUAUUUAACAUUUACACCAAAAAAAACUCAUCGAAUGAUACUUUGAAGAUAGAAGGAAAACAGCAUCUAAUAGUUUACUUGAAGAUCAUAAUACUCCGGAGAAGAUACUAUUUCUUAUGUGUAUAUUUUAUUUUUUCUGACAUUAUAUGUUACACUAUAAAUUCUUUAGAUCAAUCUAUUGAACAAUUAUUUUA
RNA transcript from Brassica napus (rape), 2240 nucleotides. It is a transcript of the gene named isochorismate synthase 1, chloroplastic-like, with no coding region annotated. The transcript has 8 exons. Lineage: Eukaryota; Viridiplantae; Streptophyta; Magnoliopsida; Brassicales; Brassicaceae. The record is from RefSeq and is a predicted model, not a curated record.